RNAcentral lists this ribosomal RNA (493 nucleotides) under uncultured bacterium. Its description in RNAcentral is "bacterial SSU rRNA". It matches the Rfam family "Bacterial small subunit ribosomal RNA", at positions 22 to 507 of the family's 1533-position model. The record is from RNAcentral.
CGUCAGGAUGAACGCUAGCGGCAGGCUUAAUACAUGCAAGUCGUGGGGCAGCAGGUUUGUAGCAAUACAGAUGCUGGCGACCGGCAAACGGGUGCGGAACACGUACAGAACCUUCCUUUGAGCGGGGAAUAGCCCAGAGAAAUUUGGAUUAAUACCCCAUAGUAUAAUGAAGUGGCAUCACUUUAUUAUUAAAGAUUUAUCACUCGAAGAUGGCUGUGCGGCUGAUUAGGUAGUUGGCGGGUAAAGGCCCACCAAGCCUGCGAUCAGUAACUGGUGUGAGAGCACGACCAGUCACACGGGCACUGAGACACGGGCCCGACUCCUACGGGAGGCAGCAGUAAGGAAUAUUGGUCAAUGGAGGCAACUCUGAACCAGCCAUGCCGCGUGGAGGAUGAAGGUCCUCUGGAUUGUAAACUUCUUUUAUAUGGGACGAAAAAAGGCCUUUCUAAGUCGUCUGACGGUACCAUAUGAAUAAGCACCGGCUAACUCCGUG